Molecule: non-coding RNA, 72 nt
Organism: Parelaphostrongylus tenuis
Lineage: Eukaryota; Metazoa; Nematoda; Chromadorea; Rhabditida; Metastrongylidae
Source: the annotation of a GenBank genome assembly
GGCUUGGGGGUGUAGUGGUAGCAUGCGUCCCCGUUAUGUGUGAAACGCGGGUUCAACUCCCGUCUGAAGUCG